UACAGAGGGGGCAAGCGUUGUUCGGAAUUACUGGGCGUAAAGGGCGCGUAGGCGGCCUGCUAAGUCGAACGUGAAAUCCCUGGGCUCAACACAGGAACUGCGUCCGAUACUGGUUGGCUUGAAUCCGGGAGAGGGACGUGGAAUUCCAGGUGUAGCGGUGAAAUGCGUAGAUAUCUGGAGGAACACCGGUGGCGAAGGCGACGUCCUGGACCGGCAUUGACGCUGAGGCGCGAAAGCCAGGGGAGCAAACGGG
This 253-nucleotide ribosomal RNA is filed under the name uncultured bacterium. RNAcentral's name for it is "partial 16S ribosomal RNA". It matches the Rfam family "Bacterial small subunit ribosomal RNA", at positions 524 to 776 of the family's 1533-position model. The record is from RNAcentral.